CCUACGGGAGGCAGCAGUAAGGAAUAUUGGUCAAUGGACGCAAGUCUGAACCAGCCAUGCCGCGUGGAGGAUGAAGGUCCUCUGGAUUGUAAACUUCUUUUAUCUGGGAAGAAAUGGUUCUUUUCUAAGGAUCUUGACGGUACCAGAUGAAUAAGCACCGGCUAACUCCGUGCCAGCAGCCGCGGUAAUACGGAGGGUGCAAGCGUUAUCCGGAUUCACUGGGUUUAAAGGGUGCGUAGGCGGAAUGGAAAGUCCGUUGUGAAAUCUCCGAGCUUAACUCGGAAAUUGCGGUGGAUACUAUCAUUCUUGAAUACUGUGGAGGUUAGCGGAAUAUGUCAUGUAGCGGUGAAAUGCAUAGAUAUGACAUAGAACACCAAUUGCGAAGGCAGCUGGCUACACAGAUAUUGACGCUGAGGCACGAAAG
This 424-nucleotide ribosomal RNA is filed under the name uncultured Flexibacter sp. Its description in RNAcentral is "bacterial SSU rRNA". It matches the Rfam family "Bacterial small subunit ribosomal RNA", at positions 338 to 759 of the family's 1533-position model. The record is from RNAcentral. Lineage: Bacteria; Pseudomonadati; Bacteroidota; Cytophagia; Cytophagales; Flexibacteraceae.